Molecule: non-coding RNA, 74 nt
Organism: Nomascus siki (southern white-cheeked gibbon)
Lineage: Eukaryota; Metazoa; Chordata; Mammalia; Primates; Hylobatidae
Source: Rfam
UAGAUUGAAGCCAAGUUGUUUAGGGUGUUUAGCUGUUAACUAAAUUUUUAUGGGUUUGAGUCCCAUCAAUCUAG